This is a long non-coding RNA of Sebastes umbrosus (honeycomb rockfish), 1071 nucleotides long. RefSeq lists it as uncharacterized. Lineage: Eukaryota; Metazoa; Chordata; Actinopteri; Perciformes; Sebastidae. The transcript has 2 exons. The record is from RefSeq and is a predicted model, not a curated record.
UGUGCUUUUCCUACUGUGUGACAUGUCAAACUCAAAAUUACAAAUUUUUAAUUUCAAAUACGCCUUAUACUUUAGAUUCUGUAAAGACAUGUAUUUUUAUACUACUUCUUACCCAUGAAACGGUGAUAUCAGAACGUAUUGAUGUUCUAUUGUAGAAAAGGAAAGGAACCAAUGAAAAAAAACAGAUGAAACUCAGCUUUAUAAAACUAAUACCUGCAAUAAUAGCAGUGAAAGAAGCAGCGGUACAACCUUAUAAACCAAAGGACCAAAUAACACAUCAAAGGUUUAGAAAAAAAGAUAGUUAUGAGUACAACAACUUUAGAAUUUGUUUCGUGUUGUUCGAGUUGAAAUUGGUAAUAUUUGGCCUAUCAGUUGUAAAAAUAAUAUAUCCAUUAAAACACAAACAUUUAGCUAUCCAAGUGACUGAUGCCAUGUUACAAAAUAAAACAUCUCUGAGGCUAAAGGAGUACGUGGAGCUGACUUCUGAACCGCCUGAAAGAGUGCCAAUCAUGAUUACCUGCCCAGCACACCUGAGAGUCAUGAGGAUCGGGACUGUGGUCUGAUUGGAUCACGUGGUCCAUCUGUAGAGCACAAAAGACAUGUGUUAGUUUGAAGUUUGAGAGUCGAGCUGGAGGUCUUCUGCAAUGCUUAUGAUGCUGUUGUCUUCAGGGGCUCUUGUCUUCUGCCUGAAAAUUAACCAUCACCUCACAAGUUUCAGAACAUCUCGCCAAAGGACUGCAGUUGAAAAUUAGCCAGCUGGCUGAUACCGGCACAUGUACAGAAAUGUUAGUUAAUGUGCAUUGUCUUUUCUUUUUUUUAAAUGAAACUUUAAAGAUGGCUCAGUUACAUUUAAUGUCCCAGUAGCUACAAUACCAGGACCUCGCCAAAGUGGAAUGCAGCCUAAUUAAUGUGAAACACGCCUGUGCUUUUCCUACUGUGACAUGUGCUGUGAAAAAUGGUCUAAAGGGCCAAAUGUCUCUACCCUUCAUCUUUCUGAUGCAAGAACUUCAAGACUCACAAGUUUCAGAACAUCUCUUGUGAAAUAAAAUGCUGAAAAACUUGUCUCACUUA